GACGAACGCUGGCGGCGCGCUUAACACAUGCAAGUCGAACGGAAAGGCCUGCUUUCCCUUGUGGAUUGCGGGUACUCGAGUGGCGAACGGGUGAGUAACACGUGAGUGAUCUGCCCCCAACUUGGGUAUAAGCCUGGGAAACUGGGUCUAAUUCCCGAUAGGACUGCAGGGUGGUGCCUGUGGUGGAAAACGAUUUUCUAGUGGCUGGGGAUGAGCUCGCGGCCUAUCAGCUUGUUGGUGGGGUAAUGGCCUACCAAGGCGGCGACGGGUAGCCGGCCUGAGAGGGUGGACGGCCACAUUGGGACUGAGAUACGGCCCAGACUCCUACGGGAGGCAGCAGUGGGGAAUAUUGCACAAUGGGCGGAAGCCUGAUGCAGCGACGCCGCGUGGGGGAUGACGGCCUUCGGGUUGUAAACUCCUUUCGACCGCGAGGAAGCCACCUGGUUGGAAGGGUGGUGACGGUAGUGGUAGAAGAAGCACCGGCUAACUACGUG
RNAcentral lists this ribosomal RNA (494 nucleotides) under uncultured bacterium. Its description in RNAcentral is "partial 16S ribosomal RNA". It matches the Rfam family "Bacterial small subunit ribosomal RNA", at positions 28 to 507 of the family's 1533-position model. The record is from RNAcentral.